CAGCCGCCACGGGAAUACGGAGGGUGCAAGCGUUAAUCGGAAUUACUGGGCGUAAAGCGCACGCAGGCGGUCUGACAAGUCAGAUGUGAAAUCCCCGGGCUUAACCUGGGAACUGCAUUUGGAACUGUCAGGCUGGAGUCUUGUAGAGGGGGGUGGAAUUCCAGGUGUAGCGGUGAAAUGCGUAGAGAUCUGGAGGAAUACCGGUGGCGAAGGCGGCCCCCUGGACAAAGACUGACGCUCAGGUGCGAAAGCGUGGGGAGCAAACAGGAUUAGAUACCCCUGUAGUCCCUGUCUCUUAUAA
This 301-nucleotide ribosomal RNA is filed under the name uncultured bacterium. RNAcentral describes it as "partial 16S ribosomal RNA". It matches the Rfam family "Bacterial small subunit ribosomal RNA", at positions 509 to 809 of the family's 1533-position model. The record is from RNAcentral.